This 1371-nucleotide ribosomal RNA is filed under the name uncultured bacterium. Its description in RNAcentral is "bacterial SSU rRNA". It matches the Rfam family "Bacterial small subunit ribosomal RNA", at positions 28 to 1381 of the family's 1533-position model. The record is from RNAcentral.
GAUGAACGCUGGCGGCGUGCCUAAUACAUGCAAGUCGAGCGAACGGACGAGAAGCUUGCUUCUCUGAUGUUAGCGGCGGACGGGUGAGUAACACGUGGAUAACCUACCUAUAAGACUGGGAUAACUUCGGGAAACCGGAGCUAAUACCGGAUAAUAUUUUGAACCGCAUGGUUCAAAAGUGAAAGACGGUCUUGCUGUCACUUAUAGAUGGAUCCGCGCUGCAUUAGCUAGUUGGUAAGGUAACGGCUUACCAAGGCAACGAUGCAUAGCCGACCUGAGAGGGUGAUCGGCCACACUGGAACUGAGACACGGUCCAGACUCCUACGGGAGGCAGCAGUAGGGAAUCUUCCGCAAUGGGCGAAAGCCUGACGGAGCAACGCCGCGUGAGUGAUGAAGGUCUUCGGAUCGUAAAACUCUGUUAUUAGGGAAGAACAUAUGUGUAAGUAACUGUGCACAUCUUGACGGUACCUAAUCAGAAAGCCACGGCUAACUACGUGCCAGCAGCCGCGGUAAUACGUAGGUGGCAAGCGUUAUCCGGAAUUAUUGGGCGUAAAGCGCGCGUAGGCGGUUUUUUAAGUCUGAUGUGAAAGCCACGGCUCAACCGUGGAGGGUCAUUGGAAACUGGAAAACUUGAGUGCAGAAGAGGAAAGUGGAAUUCCAUGUGUAGCGGUGAAAUGCGCAGAGAUAUGGAGGAACACCAGUGGCGAAGGCGACUUUCUGGUCUGUAACUGACGCUGAUGUGCGAAAGCGUGGGGAUCAGACAGGAUUAGAUACCCUGGUAGUCCACGCCGUAAACGAUGAGUGCUAAGUGUUAGGGGGUUUCCGCCCCUUAGUGCUGCAGCUAACGCAUUAAGCACUCCGCCUGGGGAGUACGACCGCAAGGUUGAAACUCAAAGGAAUUGACGGGGACCCGCACAAGCGGUGGAGCAUGUGGUUUAAUUCGAAGCAACGCGAAGAACCUUACCAAAUCUUGACAUCCUUUGACAACUCUAGAGAUAGAGCCUUCCCCUUCGGGGGACAAAGUGACAGGUGGUGCAUGGUUGUCGUCAGCUCGUGUCGUGAGAUGUUGGGUUAAGUCCCGCAACGAGCGCAACCCUUAAGCUUAGUUGCCAUCAUUAAGUUGGGCACUCUAAGUUGACUGCCGGUGACAAACCGGAGGAAGGUGGGGAUGACGUCAAAUCAUCAUGCCCCUUAUGAUUUGGGCUACACACGUGCUACAAUGGACAAUACAAAGGGCAGCGAAACCGCGAGGUCAAGCAAAUCCCAUAAAGUUGUUCUCAGUUCGGAUUGUAGUCUGCAACUCGACUACAUGAAGCUGGAAUCGCUAGUAAUCGUAGAUCAGCAUGCUACGGUGAAUACGUUCCCGGGUCU